GGACAGGAGGGUGAUUGCUCACCAGAAUGAUUGACCAGGUUGACUUGGGUCAUCUGGCUGGCUCAGUGGGUGUCCCCUUCCUCUGUCACCACUCCAUGUGUUCAUGGAAGGAUGGACUCCCCAAAAGAUAAAGGAGAUUAAGGCUGAUCAUUUCUUAGUCAAGGGCACACGAGUAGCUGGGCUCCCCUGCUGUUGAUAGAACUCCAAAGGAUCGUUCAAGGCCCAAUUGUAGGAGGAUGGAGGUGGGGCUUCUAAGACUCCAGAUACAUUUGAAUGAGGUGCUGCACGCAGCAAGAUACCUUUCUUG
This 307-nucleotide small nuclear RNA is filed under the name Rattus norvegicus (Norway rat). Its description in RNAcentral is "7SK RNA". It matches the Rfam family "7SK RNA". Rfam says of the family: 7SK was discovered as an abundant small nuclear RNA in the mid-70s but a possible function has only recently been suggested. Lineage: Eukaryota; Metazoa; Chordata; Mammalia; Rodentia; Muridae. The record is from Rfam by way of RNAcentral.